GACGAACGCUGGCGGCGUGCCUAAUACAUGCAAGUCGAACGCUGAAGGAGGAGCUUGCUUCUCUGGAUGAGUUGCGAACGGGUGAGUAACGCGUAGGUAACCUGCCUGGUAGCGGGGGAUAACUAUUGGAAACGAUAGCUAAUACCGCAUAAGAGUAGAUGUUGCAUGACAUUUGCUUAAAAGGUGCAAUUGCAUCACUACCAGAUGGACCUGCGUUGUAUUAGCUAGUUGGGGAGGUAACGGCUCACCAACGCGACGAUACAUAGCCGACCUGCAAGGCUGAGAGGCCAAGCUGGGACUGGAGCACGGCCCGGAACCCUGCGGGAGGGAGCAGUAGGGGAUUUUCGGCAAUGGACGGAAGGCUGAACGAGGAACGCCGGGUGAGUGAAGGAGGGUGUCGGGUCGUGAAAGUCUGGUGUGAGUGAAGGACGAGUGGCAGAGUGGAAAGUUCACACUGUGACGGUACCUUAACAAAAAGCGACGGCUAACUACGUG
Molecule: ribosomal RNA, 495 nt
Filed under: uncultured bacterium
Lineage: Bacteria
Description: partial 16S ribosomal RNA
Rfam family: Bacterial small subunit ribosomal RNA
Source: RNAcentral